CUGUAGUGCAAAAAGAAUUCCUGGCU
RNAcentral lists this non-coding RNA (26 nucleotides) under Cricetulus griseus (Chinese hamster). The record is from RNAcentral. Lineage: Eukaryota; Metazoa; Chordata; Mammalia; Rodentia; Cricetidae.